Lagopus leucura (white-tailed ptarmigan) is the source of this 7370-nucleotide long non-coding RNA. RefSeq lists it as uncharacterized. The transcript has 2 exons. Lineage: Eukaryota; Metazoa; Chordata; Aves; Galliformes; Phasianidae. The record is from RefSeq and is a predicted model, not a curated record.
AUGGUCGCGGGGUGGGGUGGUGAAUCACAUCCUUCUUAGGAAAUAAAAUGAAACUUGAGUGUGUGCAUCGUGCGUGCAGCUACUCUGUGUCAGGGCAGACGGAGUCCUGCCUCUGUGGCAAUGUUCAUUUCCUAUUUCCCCUCAACUGUGCACAUCUGUGAGUUUUCUGGAAGCGCUGAGCUCUGGGUUUUCCACAGAAAUGUGGAGGAUCCUGGCUGUGUUUCUUGUUCACACUCAUCUGGUGGUGCAGAGGACUGGACAGUAGGUUUGAACGGCUCCCCCCAGCAAGACUUCAGGCCAAGAUUUGCUGGACUCUGCAGGGACAUUGAAUUGCUCCAACCAUAUGGGUGUUGCAGCGUUAAAGAAGAUACGCCAGCUGAGACAACGCAUACAGAAAGUAAGAAACUAUGCUCAGGGUAAUGACUGUGUUUCUGUUUCUGUCUGCAGACCUAUACUACAUGUUUCCACUUUUAUUCUUCCACUCAGGCUCAACUUUUUUUCUUACAAUGCUUUGUAGUGAAGGAGGGGAAAAAAAUACAGACUGUGGUAACGAGGUACUUUUUGUUAGUUAGGGAAGGGAGAGGACUGGGGUCUGCACACAAACCUGCAGGAAACAUCUGUAUCUGGAACAGUGGUUUUAAACUGAAGCAAGUUUGUUGUAGUAAAUAGGCACAAUUUUGAUAUGCUUAUGCUGAAGCUGCAUUGUGUUGUCAGGGGCUGAGCAAGGGCUAGCAGCUCGCUUGGGUCAGGCUCUCCAGCCUGCUUGUGUGGAGUGUGCACGCAUCACUCUCUGUGCUGUGCCGUCCUCUGACACAAACUGCUUUUGUUCUUUUUUUCUUUCCCUCCUCUUCUAUUCUUGGCCUUUGUAAUUGUUGCCUGCUUAGCCAGUUGUCAGUGUGAGUGAGCAUGAAUUCCUCACUGUCUGUCUGUGUCCUCUGCAUGGUUUCCUGUAUCUGUCAGGACUUGGGUGCACAGGUGACAGACCCCAAUGGGGAAUCCUCCACUUAAAAAAUCUUGCAGUAACAGUACGAUCAGAGGAAAAGGAUUACUGGUCUGCUUUCUGUUGUUAUUCAAAAAAUAUCAUCCACUUUUUUUCUUUUUUUUUCUUCUUUUUUUUUUUUUUUUUUAAGAUCCACCUGAAGAAAUCAAAGCUAUCUAGCAGCCCAUGUUCCAGAAUUUCCUGCCCUUUGGAAAGAAAGCUUCAGCCAGAAGAAAUCUGGCAUCUGAAAGAUAUUUUCACAGUGUUUGUUUGGUGAUGAAAAUGGCCCCACCAGUCAGACUGAAGAGGCGAAGUCCUCUAUUCUACAUUUAUUAUUUCACGUGUGUAAUUUUUUCCGUAAUCUAAAAACACAGCUGUUCAGGUGAAGUUAAUUUAGAUCUUGAAACCUCUGCACUGAGACACUGUAAGGGAUUCAGGGUGAUGUGAUAAGAAAUGCUGAUUUCAGGCACUUGGCUGAGACCCUCUUCAUUCCUUUCCCACUAACACCAGUUGUCCUUUCAGGAUUGCUGCUGUUUACCUGGUACCCCAGGACAGGAUGUGUGAGAAGGCUCCAUCUGUCCUGCCCAAGCCGUAGGUUUUGAGUGAAUAGACCAAGGAAAGCAGUCAGUUGGCUCUGCUUUGAAAUGUCUGCUUUUUCUCUGUACAGGUGAGAAGAAUAGGAAGGGACGACAUCCAGGGCUGUUGUGUGGGAAGAGGUACACUCUAGAAGGUGGAUUUUGCCCCUCUUGCUCCAAGGCUCCAGAACCUCCCAAGUUCACAAUGCCAGAAUCUUUGGUCCUUUCUAAGCAAUCAUGAAUCAGCAGGUUUGUUGGUAGGAGCAGUCUGACUGCAAGGCAGCAUCCUUCGGGCCUCCUGUAGUCUGUGCUGCCUUCACUGGAGCACUGUUUGUGAAAUGCCUCAGGCUGCAGGGCUCUGUUACAGAGUUUGCUCUGAGGGUUUGCACAGAACUGAAGACAAGGAUGGCUAAAUAGGAAGCAGCUUUUAUUUGCUUCGGGUAACUCCUACCCCACUUCCAGAGGAGGGGCAGAAGGAUCUGUUCUAAGGUACUCACAGCUCCUGUAGCCAAACCUCAGGAACUUGUCCUAGUAGGAAAAGCUGUAAGAAAAAAGGGAGGAGUACAUUGUUUUCAGGCUAUUGAUUUCAGCUAAUUUUAUGGGGGAGAAAAAAGUAUUGUUGGCUAAUGUGUGCUUUUGCUAACCACAGAUGGACAGAGCUGCCACUUCAAGUCCAGGUCUGAAAUGUUGGUGUAGUGGCCUAACAGUGAAGACCAGAAAAGGUAGAAGGUUCAGUUGUGGUGGAUGGUCCAGGCUGGUUUUGAGCAGACAAGGCAUUAUUUCCUCCCUGGCAAAGGGGGAAGAAAUCACUGCCCCAGCUCUGUGACAUGCCUGUCCUGUUAGUUUCAGCCAGUGGAUGAUUUGUGUUCUUUGUACUGAACUGUGGAGGUUUCUGUAACUCCCUUCAGAGUGGUAACUACAUCAGUAAGCCUGAAGCAGGCUUCUCAAGAUUGGUCUUUGCUAGCUACCUGCAGUGACAGCUCUUGGUAGCUGUUAUCUCUCUGCAUCGCACCUUGCCGCACAAACAGUCCCAAAGAAGUGACAGGGGAAGGUGUUGGUCAAUGUUAAAGCAGGUAUGGCUUUUGGCUUAGAACUUCAGGCUUUCUGUGGCAUUUCUCAGAUGGGCAAACUUAGUUCCCAAUGGUGUGUAGGUCAGUUUUAAUAGUGCUGGAUCAGCUUGGCACCAAAAACAGGACAAUUUCGUCUCAACCUCAUAUACUUAUUUUAAACGUAUGCUUGUUAACAUAUGAUAAUAAACCAUGCACAGGAAAUUUACUGCAAAUGCUCAUUAUCUGCUUUAAGUCUCUGUCCCUAGCGACUUAAAAGCAUGUAGUGUAAGCAGUGGAGGGUCAGGGUAACACAACCCAUUUCUCAGUGAUGCUGAAGAGACACCCUGCUUCUCCUCUCCCAGAUACUCAAUGCUGAACUGGAAAAGAGGCACAGAUAGAAGGCUGAGUUACCUGUCACAUCUGGUAAUUUUGAGUCCUCACUAGAAAUGAGGCCUCUUGUUUUGGACUCCCUGGCAAUGCUGCCAUCUCAGAAUGUUGGCACUAAUGACAUCUAACCUGCAGCCCCUGUUUUUAACAUGCCCGUGCUGUGCAAGCUUCCAGAUGGUACAGAAGAUGAUGUGGAGAGAAAACCCCGGCCCCGGUUCCUCUGCCAAGGAGGCUUAAAUGUCUUCUUACAUGGAAAACCUAAGUGAAUAAACAUGGUGCAGGCGCCCAGGUUGUGUGUAGAAACUGUGAUGCCUUAGCAAUGAUUUGUGCAAAAGCUUUGGUUAGUAGGACAGCUGUGCUGCACAGAAGUAGACACAUCUCUGAGCUUUUUUCGCUACCAAACAGCAGAUUUCUUCACACUGGAAAGUGGGGUCUCCCUUGAAUGGGAGCAGAAGUGAAUGCUUCUCAUGUGGCUUUUAAGUGAAAUAUUGUCCCCUUUGGCCCUUAGAACUGAGUGUUGUAACACUGAAUAUCUGAUUCCCUUUACUUUCUGCAGGAUCGAUCCCCUAUAUCCACUGGAUUCUGUACUUGGGAGGGGUUUGAAGCGACAACAAAAGAGAAGCAACAUAGCAUUUUGUGGUCACAUCUCCUUGCUUUGUUACUGCCCUCUUAGCAAAUGACUCUGGCACCCUUGCAUCCAACAGCUUGUUAACAGUUCUUGUCAGAAUAGUAAUAUGGGGCAUGUUAGGUGAAGGGCAGGACUGGGGCUUUUGAAAGACCCCAACAUGGCCAGGAGGGGAGUGGUAGAAUGAAGUAGGAGGUUGGAUCCAGAAUGUAAUGUUUCAGGCUGGGCAAGAUUCUAUCUUUUACUCCACACAUGGUAUAAUUUGUCUUAAGAUACCACCCUAUGGAUCAACAAAACGUGGCUGCCCAGCAGGGAUGGAUCUGCUGUUAGGAGUGUACCAAAUCACAUCUAUAAAAGCUUGAGGUAAUCCCUAGGGAAACCUACUGUACAGAUUUAAUUGUAUCUCUUAAUUCAUCAGCUGUUAGUAAUUACAUCCUGCAUUUUUGCAGUGGAAAAAAUGAACCAAGCUGGCUACUGAGACUGACAAUAAAUCACAGGAGGGAGAGGAAAUUACAACGCAAAUAGAAACAGUCAUGUAAACAAUUUUAAUUUGCUACUUAGCUAUUCAUUAAUUAAAUAACACCUUUUAGAAAUGCAUUUUUGAAAAGGCAGCAGUGACACUGAAAGCAGCUCUGGUCAGAUUAGCUGAAACUAAAUCCUCUGGCAUCUCAACAAUAUGCCAUUUUUAAAAGGUUGAUAGUAAGCAGUUCAGCUGGCAGUUAGAGCAGUGCUGACUUCCCCUCCUUGCUGAUAUCAGCUCUGUAGCCCGUGCUUUCAAAUAAUUUAUUACAAGAGCAGUAUUCUUGUUCAGCUCCUCUUUUGAUCCAUUUCUGGGGGGAAUGACAACUGUGCAGUUCUUUUUGCCUCCUUUACCCUCUCUGUAUGCUCCGUGUUUGCCCACAAAUGACCUGGGAUCCAGCUGGUACUGGGUGUUCCAUAUCACUCUCCUGUGCUGUUCUGUGUGGAGUAACUCUGUCAAACUCCCUGUCCUCCAUCCUUCACAACUAUUUAAAAAAAAAAAAAAGUAUUUUGUUCUCAGAUGCCUGAAUAUCCUGUCCCAGUCCGGUCCUCUGCCAGUGAAUGCAAAGAAAAGGAACUGUUUACACAGUAAGGGAAGGCAAAAAAAACUCCCUCCUUUCCAUCAUUCUUCUCCUUCCUUGUUAAGUGGAGACGGUUUCAGUGCAGAAAACUGUCAGGCUGACGUGUGAGGCUUGCUGCCCUCUCCUGGCAUCACCGGGUGCCACAUGUAAAGAUCUGAUGGCUGCCCUUCAGACCGAAGUAAUUCCCCUGUGGAGAGAUGAAGUCCUGCAGGAAUGAAGAGAAGAAGCUGCUUUACAGAUGAAAUUUACAUUACAUUUACAUUACAUUUACAUUAUUCACAUUUCACAACAGUGGUGUUUUGAUGAACCAGAUCAGUUCAACCAGGCACAGCUUUCAAAUCAGCAGGGACUGGAGAAACCCCCAGGAACCCGCUCUGCUACCAAGAAAGAUUGCAGCGUGCAAAGGCACCAGCACUCAUCAUGUUCUCUGAAUCUGCAGAUGAUCCCCUGCAGCUCUGCCACUGUGCCAGACAGACUGGGAGCACCCUCAUGGUUGUCCAUGAUGGCAGGAGGUGGUACCACAGCCCACCUGAGCACCCCAGGGACAGGUGGGAGGAUGCAGCCAGGCUCCGAUGCUCUGAAUGGAUUUCAGUUGUCUGAAUGGAUUUCAGUUCAGCUCCAGCAUCUGCUGGCUAUUUAAACCCUCAUUCUUACCCUUUACGGUGACUGCCCUGGGAGGUACCCACCUUGUAGAGAGAAUUUUACCCCUGAUAGCCACUGCUGCUCAGCUCGUUGGCUCAGUGUGCAACUAUCAAAGGCAGCAGCUCUCCACAGCGGGAAUUCAGCUUGAGGGAUGCAAAGUGAUCUAACCUCGUGGGCCCAAUGUUGAGGACUGCUAUUGGCAGCUGCUUCUCUCUGGCUGCCAGCGCAAACCUGUAACCAGAGUACACCUGCAGGAACACCAGAAGACAGAGUUAUCGGCAGCACAGGCAAAGAACAGUGACAGAAAGUGAAACAGAUGAUGGUUGGCUGGGAAAUGGGCUGUAUAUGUAUGCUGUGUUCUGCAGCUGCACUUAAUUCAGGUAGGGGGUUUCUCCAUUCAGAAAAAGACAACAAUUUUUAACCUCUCACCAGAGAAAAGUUUUCAGUUUUGGAGAAAAUACAUCAAAGGGAAAGUUCUUGUCUUUCACUAAUUCUCUGCAGCAGUUUUUGCUACUUAUCGUAGGUCCUUAAACGAUUCUGCUUUGGUGGUUCUCACAUGGCCCAGCUUAGGUGCUACAAGAAUGAACCUAAGGCAUUUCAAUCAUUCCUGUAUGAAGGAUUAUGAGCUCAAAAAGGGUGAGCUCAAGGAAUUUAUCUCCAGUAUCCUGAAGCAAAGAGAAGAGCAAUCAGGCCUUUGGUUUAUGCCUUUCUGGAAGGUGUUAAAGUUGUUUUUCUUAAUGUAAUAGAACUUGUUCUUGCAAAAAUUGCUUAUUAAUUCUCCAAAAGCUUCCACAGGUUCAACAGCAGGGUUUUCUAGACCACCUUACCUUGCACUUGUAAGAUAAUGGCUAAUAGAGAGAACACACUGUGAUACAACGUGCAGCAAGUGGAGGCUUUUCUGCUCUCUUCCUCAGAAGUUUAACUAGGAAUUAGAGGUCCUAAAAUCCAAAUCCCAACAAACAGUAAUAAUUACUGAGACGCUGAAGUGGCUGUGGUGAUCUGCUGUAGGAGGCAAUGCAACAAUCUGCCAGCAAGCAGCCGUCCUCAGCUAUGGGACCAAGGGCUGCUGCAGACAGCAGUACAGAAACAGGAAGUAGCGUGGGAGGAAGACUUUGCUACCUGCAUAGAGGAUCCUGCCACCAGCAUGGAGUCUGACUCUGCCAGCCGUUGGUGCACAAAAUCCACCUUUUCCCGGCUCACUGUGUCUCCAAAGAACGUCACAUCAGGCUUCAGGAUUCCACCACACUUCCUGCAAGCUGGGACUUGGAAAUUGCGCACCUGCUCGUCCGUGAGGAAGACAUCCCCAUCUGGAGCCACACCAAGGGCUUCAGCUUUCCAGCUAGGGUUCAGAGCUUCAAAGUGCUCCUGAAGCUCAGAGCGUGAGGUUUGAUCACCACAGGUCAGGCAGAAAACCCUGAAAUGCAGAGCAAAGCCUUAACAGAGACCUUUACAUCAGCUGAAGCCCUGGAGCCAUAACUUGUUCCUUACAAGGCCUGGGCAGUCUGUUUCCAUUACAUUUAUGUACUGCGUAGUGCAGUGAGAGGUAGAUUGUGUUUUUGUAGUGGAAAUUCCCAGUAUUUCUGUAUGUAGCAUAGGAGGUAAGUUGCCUUUCACAAAGAAAGUUGCUGAAGAGAGUAAAGUUGAGACUGGGGCGUUCCAACCUAGGUAAAAUUGGCAUGGGCACUAGGUAAGGUAAUCGUAUAGGGUAGGGAGAGUCUGGUACAGGACAGAACAAGCGUGCAGAUAGUUGAAAAUAUUGUCCUCCUAUCACCAUAAGAAGUACAGAACCCAAAGACAGUGGGUUGGUAACAGACAUUGUAUGGAAGCGUAACAUAGCAACAGUGUUGGAAGACUGUGAGCCUGAGGUGCUGAACCAAUGAGUGCCAGGAGAGGCUUUAGCUGCGUUGGACCCAGGGUAACAGUGGAUUUUACUGACUAGUUGCACAAUUUCUGCCUUGUCAGUAGGGGGUGUGUGCCCAUUACUGCAAUAAUGAAUAAACUGCUCGUCACAGA